Molecule: unclassified non-coding RNA, 2012 nt
Filed under: Camponotus floridanus (Florida carpenter ant)
Lineage: Eukaryota; Metazoa; Arthropoda; Insecta; Hymenoptera; Formicidae
Description: uncharacterized LOC112639654, transcript variant X5
Source: RNAcentral
UACACAAAAUUAUGUGAAAUUUUAUGCUAAAAUUUACAUCGGAAAAGAAAAGUAAUAAAAUACUUGAUCACUCAAUGGAAAUUCAAAGGGAUAGUGAAGAUUCCCUCUGACUUUCUUAUAACUAUUUGUGCUUUGAACGUCGUAAAAAGAUGAUCGGUUUUGUGGCACAGAAUUUUGAAUUAAACAGAAUUCUGUUACUCAUUGUGGGUUUGUGGCCUUUACAACAAUCGAAUUUAACACGACUGCAGUUUAUUUUCAUGUCCGCUUUUAUGACAGCGGAUAUUAUAUUUAUAAUGAAGGAUUUAUUGAUACAACUUCAGGAUGUAUGUAACGAAUUAAAAGAUAAAAACGAAAUUGCUAUUAUGAAAGAAUAUGGUUAUAUUGCAAGCUGUUACACAACUGCAUUUACAAUAGCAACCGUUUGUGGCUUGUUUGGUUAUAUUCUUAUGAUAUUUUGGCCGGAUAUUAUGCAUAUUAUAUUACCAAAUGUAACUCAAUCACAUCAACUGCCGUUUAAAAUGGAAUAUUUUAUCGAUCAAGAAAAAUAUUUCUAUUGGAUUGCGUUAUAUGUCGUAGUAGCAACAUGUAUCGGGAUGACUUCAAUGAUAGGAAUAGGAUCUAUCCUUAUCAUGUAUCUUCAAUGUACCUGUGGCAUGUUUAGAAUUUCCCGUUAUCGUAUUAGAUGCGCAGUGCAUAUUAAUAUGCUAGAAAACAUUAAAUCGAGAAAAGACAUUUUAAUAUUAGAAGGAAUAAUUAGUGCCAUAAAUAUACAUCAGCAAGCUAUGAAAUUAUCCAAACUUUUGACGUCUGAAAUUGAGACAAUGAUGUGCUGCUUAAUAGUACUCGGAGUGAUUUCUUUGAGUCUUAAUCUCUUUCAAGUUUCUCGGGUUGUUUCAUACGGAUAUGAUAUCAAAGAGUUGUUAAUUCCUUUUGCAUUUAUAGCUAUCGGUAUCUUAUACAUGUUUAUCAGCAAUUAUGUUACACAGAAUGUAACGGAUCACAACAAUGACAUUUUUGCUACUGUAUAUGACGUCCAGUGGCAUGUAACACCGUUACAUAUACAGAAAGUAAUACUGUUUCUACUGCAAAGAGGAGCCAAAGAUUUUACUUUAGGUGCCGGUGGAUUAUUUGUCGGAUCGUUAGAAUGUUUCACCAUGCUGGUGAAAACUUCAUUCUCUUAUUUUACUGUGAUAUAUUCAACGCAAUAAUAAGAUAUGUUCAAUGUUUUCAAUAUGAAUGAUGUUUAUCUCAAAGAUGUGUACGCCAUGAGUAUGAGCAAUAGAAUGUGUAAAUUUGUGGUAUAAAAAAUAUAGCAAAUACGCAUGUGCGACUUGCGCUCAAAUAUUCGCCCGAUAAAUAUUUUUUCCUAUAGUAAACACCUAUUAGAACAUCCCUGCUAUUAUAUCGAUCGUAUAAUUAGAGAUGUUGCUGCGAAAAAUACUGUCAUAUUAUAAAUAUUCUACUUUUAUCACUUUAUAUAGUUGCAUAAAAUUACACCAAAUUGUGUGAACUUUAGUUGCCCUUCACAAAAAUAUAUGUUAAAAUUUAUAUCACAAAAGAGAAGUAAUACAAUAUUCGCUCGAUCAAUAAAAGAAGAAAAGGAUGAGUAAAGAUUCUCUUUGACUUUCUCGCAGUUAUUUCUGCUCCGAACGUCGUAAAAAGAUGAUCAGUUUCACCGCACAGAAUUUUAAACUAAACAGAAUUCUGUUACUCAGUGUUGGUUUGUGGCCUUUACAACAAUCAAAUUUAACACGACUUCAGUUUAUUUUCAUGUCCGUUAUUAUAACAGCGGGUACUCUAUUUCUGCUUACGGCAUUUAUUACAUUAAGAUGUACUCCGGACCUCGUCACUGAAAUUUUAUCUUACGUAUGUUUCUAUAGUACUUUCGUGAUACAGUAUAACUUAUUUCGUUUUAACAUAAAAGAUGUAAGUUGAUAGUUUAUAAAAUUGAUAACUUAUAAGAACUGAUAAUUCACUAGUUCAUAGCUUGAUCGUGUGAUAAAAAAAUUCUG